This is a small nuclear RNA of Ictidomys tridecemlineatus (thirteen-lined ground squirrel), 92 nucleotides long. Lineage: Eukaryota; Metazoa; Chordata; Mammalia; Rodentia; Sciuridae. The record is from Ensembl.
GUGCUCACUUCAGCACAUAUAUACUAAAAUUAGAAUAAUUCAUAGAUUAUCAUUGCCCCUGUGCAAGAAUUCGUGAAGUAUUCCAUAUUUAA